This 497-nucleotide ribosomal RNA is filed under the name uncultured bacterium. RNAcentral's name for it is "partial 16S ribosomal RNA". It matches the Rfam family "Bacterial small subunit ribosomal RNA", at positions 28 to 507 of the family's 1533-position model. The record is from RNAcentral.
GAUGAACGCUGGCGGCGUGCCUAAUACAUGCAAGUCGAGCGAACAGACGAGGAGCUUGCUCCUCUGACAUUAGCGGCGGACGGGUGAGUAACACGUGGAUAACCUACCUAUAAGACUGGGAUAACUUCGGGAAACCGGAGCUAAUACCGGAUAAUAUAUUGAACCGCAUGGUUCAAUAGUGAAAGACGGUUUUGCUGUCACUUAUAGAUGGAUCCGCGCCGCAUUAGCUAGUUGGUAAGGUAACGGCUUACCAAGGCGACGAUGCGUAGCCGACCUGAGAGGGUGAUCAGCCACACUGGAACUGAGACACGGUCCAGACUCCUACGGGAGGCAGCAGUAGGGAAUCUUCCGCAAUGGGCGAAAGCCUGACGGAGCAACGCCGCGUGAGUGAUGAAGGUCUUCGGAUCGUAAAACGCUUUUAUUAGGGAAGAACAAAUGUGUAAGUAACCAUGCACGUCUUGACGGUACCUAAUCAGAAAGCCCCGGCUAACUACGUG